CUUAUUUAGAGGAAGUAAAAGUCGUAACAAGGUCUCCGUUGGUGAACCUGCGGAAGGAUCAUCAUCAAUUUCAUAUCCCAUCGCUCCCCGCGUGCGUUGGGAUCCAUGAUAAACCUCUCUGUGCACCGUAAACCGUUCACUUUGGCAGGCUUUGGUGGUGAGCGUGAGCUCCUCGCCAACCUCGCGUUCUCCCUCCCCCGAGGGGUUCCGCGUGGCGGCCUGCCGGAGUCCCGCAAUUAAAAACACGUUUUCGAACUUGACUGAAAUUUUCCUUUGAGAAAAUCAAAGAACCUAAAACAACUUUCAACAACGGAUCUCUUGGCUCUC
Molecule: unclassified non-coding RNA, 327 nt
Filed under: fungal sp.
Lineage: Eukaryota; Fungi
Description: partial internal transcribed spacer region
Rfam family: Eukaryotic small subunit ribosomal RNA (bases 1-64)
Source: RNAcentral